This 21-nucleotide microRNA is filed under the name Callithrix jacchus (white-tufted-ear marmoset). RNAcentral describes it as "cja-miR-296". Its record names the gene cja-miR-296. The record is from miRBase by way of RNAcentral. Lineage: Eukaryota; Metazoa; Chordata; Mammalia; Primates; Cebidae. RNAcentral also lists the same sequence under 8 other names.
AGGGCCCCCCCUCAAUCCUGU